AUUUUAAUGAGAGCAGACACUUACCACCCCCAAGUAGCUAAAUGGGCUAAAAAUAUCCCUUGUUUUGGUAUUUCUAGAUUCCCUGAGGUUUUACGCUAGAGUAACACAACUGAUUUAGUGGAAUCCCUCCUGACUCACAUGGGUGUAAAUGAGAGGCGACUAAGGCCCCAAAUGUUGCACUUUUAAUGGAACCCUUCUCUUCUUGAUCCUGUGUCUGACCUCCCAUAUUUUAUCUUCCCAGGAUCAGCUCUGUGGUGUUAAUUAUAGGCAGGAACAAGUGCAACAGAAUUUGACUCAUCAAGAGAGGACCUGGGAAUUAGGACACCACUCAGUGUCAGUAACAGGAUUCAGAAUUUGAUGGCUUCGUGACAGAGGAGCAGGGAUGACUUGAUAAUGGAAGUGCAGCAGGAGGGCUCCAGAGGGACAGAAAAAGACAAGGAAUUGGAGGAGAAGUGAAGGAAGGAGGAGGAGAAGCAGAAGAUGGAGAACAAGGAGGCAGAGGAGGAUCAAAGGAAAGAGGAAAAAGAGCUGUUUUCACGUAUCUCCACCAUGAUUGUGUGAUUAGGGAGUAAGACAUGGAGUUUCACAAGGACAUGUUGGAGAGAUCGUUCAAGGUCAUGAGCCACAGGGGCAAACCUCAUUGGAAUCAGGAGCCAUAUGAAACCACCUCAAUGUUAUCAUCUAUUAUAAAAUAUGCAGAAUAAUUCCUUGGGCCAGCCAAAGAGCCCUGGAUCACCACCACAUCAUCAGCAUC
Molecule: long non-coding RNA, 754 nt
Organism: Mauremys mutica (yellowpond turtle)
Lineage: Eukaryota; Metazoa; Chordata; Testudines; Geoemydidae
Exons: 3
Source: RefSeq, a predicted model, not a curated record